AACAUAUUCCACUCUCUAUCCAACUUGUUAGAUUCUUCUCCUUUUGAACCCAUGACCAAUAACAUAAUAAAGACAGCCCUAUAUCUCGCUUUUUAUGGGUUCCUAUGUCCCAGUGAAUUUACAACUAUAACCAUUACAGCCCACGACUACCUAAGGACUAAUGAUUUACAAAAACAUACUGACCAUUACAUUCUAUCCUUAAGACAAUCAAAAACCAGCACCGAAGGACGUACUAUUCAAAUUCCUCUGUACCCUACUCACAAUAAAUGGUGCCCAGUACACAUUUUGGAUACUUAUUCCCUUUCAGUCCAAAAACAACAUCAACAGCCUUUGUUCGAACUGCAUGGACACACUCUGACCACAGCUAAAUUCAUGCUUUACAUACGACUACUGUUGACCAGGCUCGGCCUAAACCCAAAUCAUUUUUCAGGUCACUCUUUCCGUAUAGGGGCAGCAUCUUCAGCAUCCAUUAAUCAUAUACCAGCUCCCAUUAUUAAGGCUAUGGGAUUCUGGAAAUCCUCCGCCUACACACUCUACAUACCUAACCCCCUUAAAGAAUUAAGACAAGCUUUCUGUGACUUAUCUCAAUAAACGAAGUUGGUUCACGAAUUACGUUUCCUGGUAAUUUUCUUUUGCCCACUUUUAUUACAGGCCUACUGCUUUGGCGGUUCCGGCACACCACAACCGACUGGUGCUAACUCAUGGAUGUUAUGUUUAUAAUAUGCUAAGAUUUCUGUGUUCGGCCAUAUUGCCCUGACUACAAAUAUAUAUAUUUGGCCCUGGUUUGGGCACUUAAAAAGUUAAUCCCCUAUUUGUACGGACAGGAAUUUUCACUAGUCACCGACCACAACCCAUUGGUCUGGCUUAACCGGGUCGCAGGAGACAAUGGCAGGUUGCUGCAGUGGAG
This is a non-coding RNA of Pelobates cultripes (western spadefoot toad), 907 nucleotides long. The record is from the annotation of a GenBank genome assembly. Lineage: Eukaryota; Metazoa; Chordata; Amphibia; Anura; Pelobatidae.